RNAcentral lists this ribosomal RNA (2802 nucleotides) under Escherichia coli. RNAcentral's name for it is "bacterial LSU rRNA". It matches the Rfam family "Bacterial large subunit ribosomal RNA". The record is from RNAcentral. Lineage: Bacteria; Pseudomonadati; Pseudomonadota; Gammaproteobacteria; Enterobacterales; Enterobacteriaceae.
GGGUUGUGAGGUUAAGCGACUAAGCGUACACGGUGGAUGCCCUGGCAGUCAGAGGCGAUGAAGGACGUGCUAAUCUGCGAUAAGCGUCGGUAAGGUGAUAUGAACCGUUAUAACCGGCGAUUUCCGAAUGGGGAAACCCAGUGUGUUUCGACACACUAUCAUUAACUGAAUCCAUAGGUUAAUGAGGCGAACCGGGGGAACUGAAACAUCUAAGUACCCCGAGGAAAAGAAAUCAACCGAGAUUCCCCCAGUAGCGGCGAGCGAACGGGGAGCAGCCCAGAGCCUGAAUCAGUGUGUGUGUUAGUGGAAGCGUCUGGAAAGGCGCGCGAUACAGGGUGACAGCCCCGUACACAAAAAUGCACAUGCUGUGAGCUCGAUGAGUAGGGCGGGACACGUGGUAUCCUGUCUGAAUAUGGGGGGACCAUCCUCCAAGGCUAAAUACUCCUGACUGACCGAUAGUGAACCAGUACCGUGAGGGAAAGGCGAAAAGAACCCCGGCGAGGGGAGUGAAAAAGAACCUGAAACCGUGUACGUACAAGCAGUGGGAGCACGCUUAGGCGUGUGACUGCGUACCUUUUGUAUAAUGGGUCAGCGACUUAUAUUCUGUAGCAAGGUUAACCGAAUAGGGGAGCCGAAGGGAAACCGAGUCUUAACUGGGCGUUAAGUUGCAGGGUAUAGACCCGAAACCCGGUGAUCUAGCCAUGGGCAGGUUGAAGGUUGGGUAACACUAACUGGAGGACCGAACCGACUAAUGUUGAAAAAUUAGCGGAUGACUUGUGGCUGGGGGUGAAAGGCCAAUCAAACCGGGAGAUAGCUGGUUCUCCCCGAAAGCUAUUUAGGUAGCGCCUCGUGAAUUCAUCUCCGGGGGUAGAGCACUGUUUCGGCAAGGGGGUCAUCCCGACUUACCAACCCGAUGCAAACUGCGAAUACCGGAGAAUGUUAUCACGGGAGACACACGGCGGGUGCUAACGUCCGUCGUGAAGAGGGAAACAACCCAGACCGCCAGCUAAGGUCCCAAAGUCAUGGUUAAGUGGGAAACGAUGUGGGAAGGCCCAGACAGCCAGGAUGUUGGCUUAGAAGCAGCCAUCAUUUAAAGAAAGCGUAAUAGCUCACUGGUCGAGUCGGCCUGCGCGGAAGAUGUAACGGGGCUAAACCAUGCACCGAAGCUGCGGCAGCGACGCUGAUGCGUUGUUGGGUAGGGGAGCGUUCUGUAAGCCUGCGAAGGUGUGCUGUGAGGCAUGCUGGAGGUAUCAGAAGUGCGAAUGCUGACAUAAGUAACGAUAAAGCGGGUGAAAAGCCCGCUCGCCGGAAGACCAAGGGUUCCUGUCCAACGUUAAUCGGGGCAGGGUGAGUCGACCCCUAAGGCGAGGCCGAAAGGCGUAGUCGAUGGGAAACAGGUUAAUAUUCCUGUACUUGGUGUUACUGCGAAGGGGGGACGGAGAAGGCUAUGUUGGCCGGGCGACGGUUGUCCCGGUUUAAGCGUGUAGGCUGGUUUUCCAGGCAAAUCCGGAAAAUCAAGGCUGAGGCGUGAUGACGAGGCACUACGGUGCUGAAGCAACAAAUGCCCUGCUUCCAGGAAAAGCCUCUAAGCAUCAGGUAACAUCAAAUCGUACCCCAAACCGACACAGGUGGUCAGGUAGAGAAUACCAAGGCGCUUGAGAGAACUCGGGUGAAGGAACUAGGCAAAAUGGUGCCGUAACUUCGGGAGAAGGCACGCUGAUAUGUAGGUGAGGUCCCUCGCGGAUGGAGCUGAAAUCAGUCGAAGAUACCAGCUGGCUGCAACUGUUUAUUAAAAACACAGCACUGUGCAAACACGAAAGUGGACGUAUACGGUGUGACGCCUGCCCGGUGCCGGAAGGUUAAUUGAUGGGGUCAGCGCAAGCGAAGCUCUUGAUCGAAGCCCCGGUAAACGGCGGCCGUAACUAUAACGGUCCUAAGGUAGCGAAAUUCCUUGUCGGGUAAGUUCCGACCUGCACGAAUGGCGUAAUGAUGGCCAGGCUGUCUCCACCCGAGACUCAGUGAAAUUGAACUCGCUGUGAAGAUGCAGUGUACCCGCGGCAAGACGGAAAGACCCCGUGAACCUUUACUAUAGCUUGACACUGAACAUUGAGCCUUGAUGUGUAGGAUAGGUGGGAGGCUUAGAAGUGUGGACGCCAGUCUGCAUGGAGCCGACCUUGAAAUACCACCCUUUAAUGUUUGAUGUUCUAACGUUGACCCGUAAUCCGGGUUGCGGACAGUGUCUGGUGGGUAGUUUGACUGGGGCGGUCUCCUCCUAAAGAGUAACGGAGGAGCACGAAGGUUGGCUAAUCCUGGUCGGACAUCAGGAGGUUAGUGCAAUGGCAUAAGCCAGCUUGACUGCGAGCGUGACGGCGCGAGCAGGUGCGAAAGCAGGUCAUAGUGAUCCGGUGGUUCUGAAUGGAAGGGCCAUCGCUCAACGGAUAAAAGGUACUCCGGGGAUAACAGGCUGAUACCGCCCAAGAGUUCAUAUCGACGGCGGUGUUUGGCACCUCGAUGUCGGCUCAUCACAUCCUGGGGCUGAAGUAGGUCCCAAGGGUAUGGCUGUUCGCCAUUUAAAGUGGUACGCGAGCUGGGUUUAGAACGUCGUGAGACAGUUCGGUCCCUAUCUGCCGUGGGCGCUGGAGAACUGAGGGGGGCUGCUCCUAGUACGAGAGGACCGGAGUGGACGCAUCACUGGUGUUCGGGUUGUCAUGCCAAUGGCACUGCCCGGUAGCUAAAUGCGGAAGAGAUAAGUGCUGAAAGCAUCUAAGCACGAAACUUGCCCCGAGAUGAGUUCUCCCUGAC